Tachyglossus aculeatus (Australian echidna) is the source of this 1341-nucleotide long non-coding RNA. RefSeq lists it as uncharacterized. Lineage: Eukaryota; Metazoa; Chordata; Mammalia; Monotremata; Tachyglossidae. The record is from RefSeq and is a predicted model, not a curated record. The transcript has 3 exons.
AACUCAGUGAGGUUCCGUCUGAGUUGAGUGACUGUCUUGUUUUCACUAAGAGGACGGCCUCUUGUGUUUGGUUCUGCCUGUCUCUGAAAACCAUAUUAAAAAGUAACAGAAACGAUAAUUGUUCCCAGGAGGCAGCGAGAAGGACCCUGGGGGACGGAAUUGCCGCAAAUCCGUCUUUGGGGACGAUGACUAAGCAAUUGUUUUGAAAAGACUUUUCGGGGGAGAAUAAAAUGCCCCUCCCUUAACGGAAGGCAAGCCAGGAGAGCAGGGGCCCGGGGUUGAAAAUGCGAAAGUGCACUGACCAAACACCCCGCCCCAGCCUACUCCAAGGCAACUCACUCCCACCUAGGGACCCCCACUCUGCGUUGAGGGGAAACAAUCAAAGGACUUUCAGAUUCUUUUUUGAUUGUGAGCUCCUAGCCAGCCUGGGAUAGAUCCCGUGCCCCAUCCCAUUCCACUGUGCUUCAUUAGUCAAUGGCAUUUAUCGAGCACUUAAUGUGUGAGCCCAAUACGGACAGAGAUGGGAGACGUGAUCCCUGCCCAUAAGGAGUUUACAACCCAUAGUAGGACUCUUCAUACCUCAACCUAGGGGUGGAGGCGGUGCAACUGGAAUCCUCACUUCCUGGCAAGAUUAAGCCGGUUACACACAUUAACUAGCUCACUGGUGUUGAGAGAAAUUUGACCGGAGAACUCACGCCCCUUCUCCAGAGCGCCCCGCCUAUAGCUGCUAAUCCAGGCCCCGCACACUUGGAGUUGCUUCUUAAAUGGAAUGGUUUUCCCGCACAGCAGACCCAAGUGACACCCAGCACCAGGCAGAGGAAGGUAAGAACACAAACCAUUUUAGUAAUGGGAAUCAAAAGUCAGUUCGUGCGCCACACAACACUCGAUGGAAAGGGAGGCUCUCGGGGGUCAAGGAGGUCAGUCUGCUGUCGUGGGACCGAUGCUGGGCAGAAAAUCAUUUCUCUUUCAAGAAGCCGUGAGGCAGAUCGAGAGUCCGAGAAACGGGAGCUAAAGAAUCAGCGGGCCCGGGCCAUCCCGUCUGCUACCCCAAGCCAGUUAUCUCCGCCUCCUCUCACUCACCCGGCUACAAUGAAACAGGCAGUAUAACAAGAACCACGUUGUAUCCCUACCUGGAAUUCCUCAUGCUGGCUUGCAGGGGCAGGAGGACAAAGCCAGGAACAGAAGCAGCGAGCGAGAAACUCAAUGUCGCUGCAGACGGUAAAACCACGAUCCUGCGGGCAGGGCCACGUGAGACCAGCCCUAUUCCUUUCUCACUGCCUUCUUCAGGUAGAGGUUGCUUUUGUCACAUACUUACGUGUCAAUCACGAGUAAGCGCUUAAG